AUACGGAGGGUGCAAGCGUUAAUCGGAAUUACUGGGCGUAAAGCGUACGUGGGCGGCGUGUUAAGCAAGAUGUGAAAGCCCCGGGCUCAACCUGGGAAUUGCAUUUUGAACUGGCAUGCUAGAGUCCUGAAGAGGGUGGUAGAAUUUCCAGUGUAGCGGUGAAAUGCGUAGAUAUUGGAAGGAAUACCAGUGGCGAAGGCGGCCACCUGGUCAGAGACUGACGCUGAGGUACGAAAGCGUGGGGAGCAAACAGGAUUAGAUACCCUGGUAGUCCACGCCGUAAACGAUGUCAACUAGUUGUUCGUGUCAUUAAGACGUGAGUAACGCAGCUAACGCACUAAGUUGACCGCCUGGGGAGUACGGCCGCAAGGUUAAA
This 376-nucleotide ribosomal RNA is filed under the name uncultured bacterium. RNAcentral's name for it is "bacterial SSU rRNA". It matches the Rfam family "Bacterial small subunit ribosomal RNA", at positions 523 to 898 of the family's 1533-position model. The record is from RNAcentral.